UUGGUUGAAGCCAAACAGAGGCUUAUCACUGUUAAUGAUAGAAUUGAAUUACCCUUCCCUCCAAA
This 65-nucleotide transfer RNA is filed under the name Engaewa subcoerulea. RNAcentral's name for it is "tRNA-Asn". Lineage: Eukaryota; Metazoa; Arthropoda; Malacostraca; Decapoda; Parastacidae. The record is from RNAcentral.